Molecule: non-coding RNA, 331 nt
Organism: Pelobates cultripes (western spadefoot toad)
Lineage: Eukaryota; Metazoa; Chordata; Amphibia; Anura; Pelobatidae
Source: the annotation of a GenBank genome assembly
AAAACAUAUCUAUAUAUUUUUUAAUAAUUUUUAAAAAAUAAUUUUUAAAAUUUUAUUUUUUAACGUAUUUACAUUUUUUUUUAUAUUAUAUAUAAAUAUAUAUAACAAUAAUUAUAUAUAUAUUUAAUCAAUAUCAGUCUACGUGUAAUCCGUCGCAUUCGGAUGUCUGCCCUAUUAACUUUCAAUGGUACUUUCUGCACCUAUCAUGGUGACCACGGGUAACAGGGAAUCAGGGUUUGAUUCCAGAGAGGGAGCCAGAGAAACGGCUACCACAUCCAAGGAAGGCAGCAGGCGCGCAAUUUACCCCACACCUGACGCGGGGAGGUAGUGA